UACAGAGGGGGCAAGCGUUGUUCGGAAUUACUGGGCGUAAAGGGCGCGUAGGCGGCCUGUUAAGUCGAACGUGAAAUCCCCGGGCUCAACCCGGGAACUGCGUCCGAUACUGGCAGGCUUGAAUCCGGGAGAGGGAUGCGGAAUUCCGAGUGUAGAGGUGAAAUUCGUAGAUAUUCGGAGGAACACCAGUGGCGAAGGCGGCUCACUGGUCCGGUACUGACGCUGAGGUGCGAAAGCGUGGGGAGCAAACAGG
Molecule: ribosomal RNA, 253 nt
Filed under: uncultured bacterium
Lineage: Bacteria
Description: partial 16S ribosomal RNA
Rfam family: Bacterial small subunit ribosomal RNA
Source: RNAcentral